Gallus gallus (chicken) is the source of this 6431-nucleotide long non-coding RNA. The record is from Ensembl. Lineage: Eukaryota; Metazoa; Chordata; Aves; Galliformes; Phasianidae.
CUGAAACAAAUAUUUGCCCUGUAUUUCCAGUCUGUUACAUCCCUCAAGACAGUCAUUGGCUUUCAUGCAAUGAAUCUAGGGUAUUUCACAGGAAUAAACUAAGAGUAGGAAUGCAGCAUCAACAUAGUAGGUUACAGUCAGCAGUUGAGGUCUGUGAUAUGGGUUUAUGAUGUUUCUUAGCUCAGAAAAAAGGCACCAUUCAAUUUCUGUAUUUAUAUUUCUACUUGAAUGUCUUUUAUGUACUGAAUUUGUGAUCUCCUAAGUUCCUUUCUCUCUUUCAAGAAAAAAUGUCUGGCAGUUGGGAUUGAAAAAGUUUCAGACACUCUGUGUGAACAUCUGGGAAAACUGACCAUAAAAUGUUGAGUUCAGCAGUCAAGUAGUUGGCUGAGUCCUUUGUACUGCAGUUGCUGGGUUAUCUCUGUCCUUGGAGACCAAUAUCAAACUUCACACUCAGAAGUCCCCCAGCUGAGUUAUGCCCCUUCGUCACGGAAUUCACACCCCACCCCCUCCACUGACGCAAACUUCAGAGAGCAGCUCCAUGGAGGAUAACCUAAGUGCUGCCUGCAGAGCUAAGUGUGCUGUCCUUGCUUGUUAUUGUAGCAUUGAUAUACAUAUCUUCCUUUCCUCAUUUGUUAUAUCCUAAUGUCAUUAGGACAAGCCUGCAGCAAUUUUAAACGCUGGCUGCACAGCCUCUUUGACGUCAUUACAGAAAGGUCUCGAGUGCAGACCCUGCAUAUACUGUCUGUGAUAUAGUGUAUAAAAAUCCAUGUCAGUGCUGGCUCUCGGGGAGCACUGGAAAUGAUUCAGCUGUCUGGAAUGGGCAGAUGGCUGCUAUCAAAGUUUUAUUAUCACCAUCAUUAUUAUUACAGUGGUUUGUGACACAUGCUGAACUUUAAGACUGGUGUAAAAGCUUAAGUAUUUGAGCAACACUUUCUGAAAUUCAAAUCCUUCAAAUCCUUUCCAAUCUAACUCCAAAAAGCAGGAGUACGUUUCAAGCUAAUUAGACAUAUUGCUUGGUUUCACUUCCAACUUUCAGAGUAAUUAUCUCAAAAUUCUUGUUCUCUUGUAAACGCAAAUGUUCACUAUUUUUAAUUGCCUUGAUUUAUUGCAGAACUUAAAUUCAGUACAUGCUGAAAGUUCAGCAGGGUGGAAAGAAAAUUUGAGUUUGUUUAAGGGAGCACAUGGAUAGGAUUGUGUACUGUGGCCUCUGUUUAGAAAAGCUCAUCGUUAACCUAUGCUAACAGGAACUGCUUGCUGGAGGCAUCCUCUAAAACUAACCAUACCGAGGAGUACAGAAUUAAUUGAUACAGAUUUCUUCAACUUGCAACAUGAACAGAUUUACUUGGAUGUUGUAAGAGUGACAUUUCGUUUUCAUCUCUGUAGCUGCUACCUCUGCUGCUUUGUGUAUUUGAAUAUUUCAGUUCUCACAGGGUUCUCUUCUGACGCAUCAGUAGACGGCUGAAGGUUUUUCUCGGUCAUCCUGAGACUGGCUCAGACUAUGUUAUGUUGGCUGUCUGUCUGUGCUUUGUACUUGUCUUUCGUACGGCCUCCAUGGCUCACCAGCAUGAGGUAUAGAUCAACUACUGCUGCCUAUGCCACUGCCUUUUGUGAUUCCUUUUUGUGGUUAUAUUUAGCCCUGAAUGCUAUGGUAUUGGCUUUUGAAUUCUCUGUUCUGGCCAAGUUUUUUGUUUAAGUUGUUGUCCUUUUAGUUUUACUGUAACUGGUCUGUCAGCAGGGGUCCUCUCAGCACAGUAAUGACUCAUGAACAUAUUUCCAUUUCCAGGAGGGCGUAUUGUGGUUGGCCAGCACUGCUAGGCAGACAUCUUAUCCUUCUUGUUCUGCCUUUACCAUCAACAUCCACAUUAUAAUUUCUCAGGCCAGGCAUCACUUUGUGCUUUUAUUUCUUCCCAAAUCUUUGAAAUCAGCUAUCAGGUACUGUGGACCACUUUUUCAGUAUGGCCUGUUGGAUAUGCAGCCAAAGUGUUUUUGUUUUUGUUUUCCUAAUCUCAUUUUUCUAUAUGUCCUGAAAUUGGGCUAGUAAAUUCUUGUAAUGACAGCAUUUUGGGAAGUGAAAGCAAAGAAUUGGACUUAAUUCUUUUUCAAAAGUAUUCAUUUUCUGUGGUUGUAGCAUUCUCCUGCUGUCAGGUAUCAAGGCAUUUGCCCAGCUUCUACUAGAUAUUUAAAACAGGGCCAGGGUUUUUUUCACCAACUAAGACUGGAUUUAUUCUGAUUUAAAUAACAAAAUUUUGCAUCCAGAUAAGUGUGCAUUAAUUACAGUAAUGGCAUGAAUCAUGGAUUAGGUGAGGUUGGCUGAGGAGGCAUUUCUGGAGGCCAUUUGGGUCAACCUCCACUCAAGCAGGGACACCCAGAGCUGGCGGCCCAGAAGCAUAUCCAGAUGGCAAAGAGACACUCAGUCUAUAGUUCUUGUAACUAACCUACAGAUUCUCCCCACAGUCCAGGGAAAUUACACUUAAGCAGCUUGUAGGAUUUUUAUUGAAAGUCAAAGAUAACUUGAAUUCAAAAGUAGCUAGUGAGAAGCAUGACAGCAAAUAUUUGGAAAGGUCAGUAGACUGCUGGGAUGAUACAAUCUCAGGCAGUGGAACAGGAGUAAGAGAAAAGAGAUUGAUAACACUAAUGCUGUAUGAUAGUGACAGAGCAAAUUGUCCCUUUUUACAGAUCUUUUAGACAACUUUAUUUUCUACCAUUGUAUGUGGGAACAUGUUUAGUUUUUUUAGUUGUUUAGUUUUCCACUGAGACCAGAGCCUGAUGAUUUCUCUUGUUCCCUUAAAGUACAUCCAGAAUAUUUAACACACUGGCCUUCCAGCUUAUCACAUGCUUUCUGUUUCUCAGUGACUUUUUUUGAGUUCAAAUCAUUGAGUGCUAAUGCAAAAACCUAAGAGAAUCAGUUCCCCUGUGCUAUGCUUGUGGAAAAAACCUUUGCAAAUAAAAGUCUGAUAUUAAAGUGGGGUGGAGGGAAAAAGAAGGUAACUGUAUUACCUGACUGAUCAGUGCUGCUUUAGUCUGUAUUCAGUAAAUUCACUUAUGAAUGAUAUUUUUCCCUAAAGCAGUGUUUCCCAGAUAUUGAUUGCUGCGGUUGGUAAUGGAUCUAGAGGCCAGCCAGCUUCCAGUGACGCAGUUUCUAGGAACAUGGACAGUGCCAGUCUGAGCUCCAAAAAUCAAUCGCAUAGAGAUGGUUUAUGGUUUGUAACUGUCAGAAAUAGUGGCAGCAGUGUGGCAUUACAGGACGCUGCCCUGUGUCUGUAGACAAAGUGUGUUUUCUGGAAGAGCAGGAUCUUUCCCUCUGCAGAUUUUGGGUACCUCACCUGUUACCAGAGAGAGCAGAGCUGCUUAAGAGCUCAUGGGAGGAAGGACUAGUGAUUGCCAUGCAUGUCUCUUUUCCCUCUGUCAUAAUUGCCUGGGCAGUUAUUUCUCUUCCUACCUGGCAAAACUGGCUGUGUAACACUCAGUGGUGCCAGUGCUCAUCUCCUUCUGUUCCUCAGGGAAACUUACUGUGUCUCAGCCUAGUUUUUUCCCCUUUUUUUUGUCUGAAAAGCCUGGUUCCUUAGUGGGGGUCACAAGCACCACAAAUCUCAAAACGGGAAGGAAAAAAAUAUGUUACUAUUCCAGAUGCUGUUGCUCUCAUAGUAUCAUUGAAUGUUGCUUAUCACACUGCAAUUUAAGUGGAAUGGAAUCUCUUGAGGGACUUAAAAUAACUUUAUCACCAAAUGAAGGCAAGUUUAGUGAGCCUGUCUGUGCUGUUUUCAGUUAGAAUCUCUGGUAGCACUGAGCAGUCUGUCCAGGAAGCUGUUUCCGUAUCAUCUACAGUUUGUCUUAAACUCUACACCCAUUUGAUAGCAGGUAAUGAACAGGUUUUGCUGACAUUCUUCAUAUACAUUCUCUCAUCUUUCCCCAGUAAUUAGCAUGACACAUAGAAGCACAGAGAGGUAGAGUGGCUCAUGCAGACUAAUUUACUCAGUGUUUGGAUUUCAAUGAAUAGCUUAUAAAAAGAUAUGUAUGCUCUCUUCUAUCCCCUUACCUGAGAUAUUCAGUCCACCUCCCUCAGCUUUCUACCAUGACAGCUUGCUUCUAUGGUUGUGAGAGCAUAAGCUGCCUGUCCUGUCUCAGAUGUGCAUCUGACCUUGAUUUCAGAGGCAAAAAGAGAAUGAAAGGAGAUUUGCAGCCAAAAUCAGUUAAUAAUGAGGUGAAAUUAUGUAGGACAAAUCGACUUUAAAAGGAUAAAUGAAGUCAUGUGGAGUUGUGUAAUAUUGCAGUCAGUCUACCACCCACAUCCAAGCUAGUUCUUUAAAAUUGCCUAUUUCUGGGACCAUGGACUUCUGAAUAGUUGUGGCCCUCUGAUCUAUAUGCCCAAAUCUUGAGAUCAAGACCACAGGCAUCUACUUAUUGAGGAGCAAUAAGAAGGGUGAUCUGGAAAUCGUAUGAUUUCCAUGCAUAUGAUGCUACCUCCUGAGAGAUCCUGUCACUGUACCCUAGGGCUAAGUCUGGUGUGCAGCUGAGUCCUGCAUCAGGCUGGCAGUGUUCAUCUUGGCAAUUCCUUUUGCUGUAUUUCCCUUGUAGCUGGGAUCUGGAUUGCCAGCACUGUGCUGCUCUUGGUCAUGGCAUUUGGUUUGGCAGCAGAUGUUAUCCCUCUUAGAAAAAAGAUGCCCCAGUAAAAGGUUGGAUGGAACCUUGAGCAAGCCUGAUCUGGUACAUGGCAAUCCUGGGGAGAGUAAGCUCAAUGAUUUUUAAUGUCCCUUUCAACCUAAGCCACUCGUUGCUUCUAAAUGGAGAAAAGAAUGAGGAGGGAAUUAUUUUCUGCAGGAGUCGUGUCUUACUCAGGCACAUUAGCUUAUCACCCAACCAUAUCCAACAAGUAAUACCACUGUGCGGGGCUCCUGAAUUCCAGCCCUCAGGCAGCAGCCUGCUUUGUGAUCUCUCAUUCAUCUCCAAAGACAAGUGUAGUGGGCUGGAACCAGGACAGACAGUUCAGAUUAAUCAGACUGUGAGCCUAGAGUUUACAUGGUCAGGGGUAAGUGUGUUCUUGAAAUAGGAUUGGCCCAGAUCAAGGAGAAGUAAAGCACAGUUUGUAUGUUUUGAUGUAAGAUUAAAGUCAGAGAAAUGUGAACAAAAACAGACCAAGAUUUUUAAGAUGUUUAUAUUUUUAUUAUUUAUAGAAAUCCUGACAGAGUGUUUUUUUUUCUGAGUGCUCUAAAAUGCAUUGGAACCUGACCUACUUUCUUCUCAGGUUUACCUACCUACAUUUUCCGUAGCUCUGGAGGACACGUCAGCUGCAGACAAGAAGAAAAAAUGCACUAGCUUCAUAAAAUUACAAUACGAUCUCUUAGUUUGGCUGGUGAUUGCAUUCUAAAAGGUAUCACAGCCAGGACACAGAGUCAACUGCAAGAGAUAAGAGGGCUGCUCCCAAAGUAAUGCCUUCUAUUUUAUUAUUUUGGCUCACAAUGUCAGAAUCAGAUGUUGAUGAUAUGGCAGUAGAGAUUGAAUCUUCCCACCAAUGUUUCAUUGCAUUUUGUUGCUGUGUGACAAAUGGCAGCAGAGAGGCAGUCUGACAGAAUGAUGUUUGACAUGGAAGUGCAUAUGAAGCAAAGGUGUGACAUUGAAUUCCUCUAUGUGGAAAAAAAUGACAUCCACUGACAUUCAUGGAUACUUGCUGAACGUUUCUGGAUAUCAAACGGUGAAUGUUGGCACAGUGAUGCUGUGGGUGGUGCAUUUCAGUAGUGGCAACAGUGGGUCAACUCCAGUAGUACAGAUUUUUACAAGUGCAGAAUGCAGGCUUUUGUUCAUCACUGGUAAAAAUGCAUAGUUACUGGUGGUGACUGCGUGGAAAAGUUUUCUGUAGCUGAGAAUUUGCUCUGUCAACUAGUAUUAUCGUGCUUUUUGUAUCUGCUGUAGUUUCCAUGGAAAUAAAUAGGAGGCGUUACUUUUGGAGUGAUCUACAUAAUGUUCUCAGGCUUGUUCACAUAAACAAAUCCAUUCCUUUCUAAACCAUGAAAGUGUCUGUGUGUGGAUGUGCACAGGUUUAAUAGUACAGAAUUAUCUAUAAAGUAUGUGAGAUAGUGUUUUGAGAGAGGAAAUAAGAAGGAAGGAAACAAUGAGGAGCUCUGGAAGGCAGAAAAUGCUAUUUUCGAGUUGGAGUCAGUAUGCCAUAAGUAUCUAAUUUCACAGAUACUUAAUGUCACGUAUAUCAUGCUCUCAUAGAUAUUUAAUACACUUUAUUUUUGUACAUGCUAGUAACAUGCCACAGUAUACUUCUAAAAACCACAAAAAGACAACAUUAAUGGGAUUCUAACUUACUUGAUUUUCUGGGACUUCACUGCAAGAAUAGCUCAAAAAGCUAAAAGAUGACCUGGUGUUUGAGAGAGAGAAAGGGAUUGUAUAUUGAUACUAAUUUCCACUGAGAUCAUUUGGCUGCAGCA